Paramuricea clavata is the source of this 383-nucleotide non-coding RNA. Lineage: Eukaryota; Metazoa; Cnidaria; Anthozoa; Malacalcyonacea; Plexauridae. The record is from the annotation of a GenBank genome assembly.
CUUAUUUCAUUAAUUAAAUACGUCAUGAAUACCUUAGUGUUUUGGAGGGGGUAAUAAUGUGUGGUAGAAUAUACGAUACGGUAUAUUAUUUUUAAUUUAAGCAAUUAAAAGCAACGAAAUGUUGCGGAAAUAAUUGAAAAAGUAAAACUAUCGCGUUCUAGUCGAUUCGUUGCAAUAAUUCAGAAAUUAAGAAAUAUAUAUGAGUCAUAUUUGUUAACUGUAUAUAUAUAUAUAAGACCUGCAAGACACAAUAGACAACCUAUAGUCGACCAUGUGAGAAGGUGCCUAGACAGACAUGCAAACGAUCAGUGAAUGAGAUGCAAUGUACGACACAAAAAAUAUAUUUUCAUGAGAGUUCGUGCAACUUAUAUAUUGAUAGGUUA